Molecule: long non-coding RNA, 1340 nt
Filed under: Phoenix dactylifera (date palm)
Lineage: Eukaryota; Viridiplantae; Streptophyta; Magnoliopsida; Arecales; Arecaceae
Description: long non-coding RNA (PDAC_LNC003310)
Source: RNAcentral
GAGAGAAGAGGAAGUUUUAUGGUUUCACGACUUUUGGUACUUUCAUUAAUGCCUGUUGUUAUUGUGCUAAUUUUUUUUCCUUCGAGUUGCUUGUGCAUGGUUAACAUUUCCCAUUAAUAAUCCCAUGCGGGGCAUUUUGCAUUCUCGGUUGUAAUCAAUAAAUCAGAGAAAUGAAAAUACAAGGUCAGAUUGUGCGGAUUUUACUAUAACUUCCUCAGGUUUUAUGCAUCAUCUUUUCUCCUAUGUGUAUGUACCGGAAUCAUCUGUCUUUAUAUAUUCUCUAAACACCUGUUAGAUUGGAUGUAGUUAAUAUGUUUCUCUUGUUUGCAUGAUGAAUAGCUAUCUUUUGGAGACGCUUAAACGAUGUUUUGCUUCUAAUUCCCUUCUUGGUUUAUCUAAAUUAGGGAUUCGAUUAUAUGAAUUGCCUACAUGAGUCGUUCAAAUAGCUGAGCAAAGGCUUGUAUGUUCUUAUAGUUAAAUUCUCCUAAUUUGGAUUAGUACCAGUAUACAUAAGAUAUACUCCAACAGUGAAAUCACAUGGCUGGAAAUCAUGUAGGUAUGUUCUUAGAUUCGAGCUUGUCUCAAAUUUUUAGUGUCUGGGUGGCCAUAUUAGAUCAGAAUGCAUGCAAGCAUAGGUUUUCUGUACUGAGAUUUGAUGAUCAAGGAGGCAACAGUUGCAAGGAAAGAAGCUUAGCAGAUAUUACCAUGCUUUGGUUGGAGAGAUAAAGUCUUGCUAGUAACAGUUGCUUGCAUUUUUGUUUUGAUUGUGGGAUUUUGAAAUAUUUGCCGCUGUACCUAAAUUCUUGUGGCAUUGCAGCUAUCUGGAAGUUAUCUUGCAGCACUUCUGACAGAUGAUUUGGAUAACUCCAAAUUGUGCGAUGGUGUGGUGUUCAAUUGAUGUUUGGAUGUUGGCUUCAGAACACAUCUUAGAAUAUCCAGUAGAACUACGAUGGCAGAUCGAAAUGGGUCUGUAGCUCAAGGAUGCAUCGCUGGCACAGGUUACAAUGUCUCUCCUCAUUUAUCUGGCUAUCCAUCUCAAACCUUGCUUCUGAUUCUUAUGAUAUUGGCCUUGACUCUCAAGUUGUAUGUACAUAUAUAUUAGACGAAUCAAACCUGAAUAACUACAGAACUUGUAUCAAUAUUGACCUCAAUGUAUUAAUGCUUUAGUAAAUGAAGCCUUACCUUAGUUAUGAAGAAGAUAAUCCCAUGAGGGGGACCAUUUCAUUUUUCGUAGUAGUUUAUUAAAUUUCAGACAGGUAUGCAUCGAUUUGUCUAUCUGUUUCCAUCUCUUUUUCCACCUGUAUAUGAGACAUUUUUUAAUUCAAAAAUAAAGGUUGUGG